This 800-nucleotide ribosomal RNA is filed under the name Halomonas sp. Mg17. Its description in RNAcentral is "bacterial SSU rRNA". It matches the Rfam family "Bacterial small subunit ribosomal RNA", at positions 67 to 864 of the family's 1533-position model. The record is from RNAcentral. Lineage: Bacteria; Pseudomonadati; Pseudomonadota; Gammaproteobacteria; Oceanospirillales; Halomonadaceae.
CGGUAACAGGGGUAGCUUGCUACCCGCUGACGAGCGGCGGACGGGUGAGUAAUGCAUAGGAAUCUGCCCGGUAGUGGGGGAUAACCUGGGGAAACCCAGGCUAAUACCGCAUACGUCCUACGGGAGAAAGGGGGCUUCGGCUCCCGCUAUUGGAUGAGCCUAUGUCGGAUUAGCUAGUUGGUGAGGUAAAGGCUCACCAAGGCAACGAUCCGUAGCUGGUCUGAGAGGAUGAUCAGCCACAUCGGGACUGAGACACGGCCCGAACUCCUACGGGAGGCAGCAGUGGGGAAUAUUGGACAAUGGGGGCAACCCUGAUCCAGCCAUGCCGCGUGUGUGAAGAAGGCCCUCGGGUUGUAAAGCACUUUCAGCGAGGAAGAACGCCUGGUGGUUAAUACCCAUCAGGAAAGACAUCACUCGCAGAAGAAGCACCGGCUAACUCCGUGCCAGCAGCCGCGGUAAUACGGAGGGUGCAAGCGUUAAUCGGAAUUACUGGGCGUAAAGCGCGCGUAGGUGGCUUGAUAAGCCGGUUGUGAAAGCCCCGGGCUCAACCUGGGAACGGCAUCCGGAACUGUCAGGCUAGAGUGCAGGAGAGGAAGGUAGAAUUCCCGGUGUAGCGGUGAAAUGCGUAGAGAUCGGGAGGAAUACCAGUGGCGAAGGCGGCCUUCUGGACUGACACUGACACUGAGGUGCGAAAGCGUGGGUAGCAAACAGGAUUAGAUACCCUGGUAGUCCACGCCGUAAACGAUGUCGACCAGCCGUUGGGUGCCUAGAGCACUUUGUGGCGAAGUUAACGCGAUAAG